GAUGAACGCUGGCGGCGUGCCUAAUACAUGCAAGUCGAGCGAACAGACGAGGAGCUUGCUCCUCUGACGUUAGCGGCGGACGGGUGAGUAACACGUGGAUAACCUACCUAUAAGACUGGGAUAACUUCGGGAAACCGGAGCUAAUACCGGAUAAUAUAUUGAACCGCAUGGUUCAAUAGUGAAAGACGGUUUUGCUGUCACUUAUAGAUGGAUCCGCGCCGCAUUAGCUAGUUGGUAAGGUAACGGCUUACCAAGGCGACGAUGCGUAGCCGACCUGAGAGGGUGAUCGGCCACAUGGGAACUGAGACACGGUCCAGACUCCUACGGGAGGCAGCAGUAGGGAAUCUUCCGCAAUGGGCGAAAGCCUGACGGAGCAACGCCGCGUGAGUGAUGAAGGUCUUCGGAUCGUAAAACUCUGUUAUUAGGGAAGAACAAAUGUGUAAGUAACUAUGCACGUCUUGACGGUACCUAAUCAGAAAGCCACGGCUAACUACGUG
This 497-nucleotide ribosomal RNA is filed under the name uncultured bacterium. RNAcentral's name for it is "partial 16S ribosomal RNA". It matches the Rfam family "Bacterial small subunit ribosomal RNA", at positions 28 to 507 of the family's 1533-position model. The record is from RNAcentral.